CAGUGGAGCAUAUUUUCUAUAUUUUCCUAGACGAGAAUGCACAAAUUAUACUCACCGGGCUUGAGACAUGUGUAUAUAUUUUUAUAUUUUCACAAAGAUCGGCUCACUUGACAUAAAACGGUUUUUUUUUUUAUAAUUUCAAAAGGUCGAAAAUUGAAAAUCAUUCGGCCAAGUUCACGGAGGUCUCAUUUUUUCUCUUUCUGAAUUUUGGCCAUUUUGGCAAUCCAUAAUCGUCAUACUUCACACUAUUCUAUUUUUCGAAAUCGUUCUGUCGUUCGUAAGGAUUCAAAUCUACUUUUUGAAUGCGAGAAACCUUUCAAAAAGAUUGGCCUCAAAAAAAUGAAAUAAAAAUUGAAAUAUUACAUGAGCGCAGAAGCAUUCAUAGAAGCAUUCGCAUGCGCCUAGUUUUCUCGAACACAACAAAUUCUUCAUUCCGUUGCUAUGGACGCCUCACGUGGGCUGAAUAAGCAAGCACGCUUUUUCUCGCGAUCAUUAGGACAUAGUAUUUUGUGUGGUAAUUUAUGGAAAGAAACAUGAUUAUGUGUAUUUUAAAAAAUAUAUAAACUAAACUGGAAGAACCAUAAGAAAAAAAAUGAGUGGAGAAAGGAAUUCUCGAGUUCGCAGACGUUCGAGAGCCGACAAUGAAAUAUCCGACAGUACGACAACAAACAAGGAGAGAGACUCUGAAUGCAGUUCCGAGAAAGAGGCGUCAUCCGACCAGCCUAAAAGUCCUGUCAUUUUAUUAAACAAAGAAAGAACGACGUCAAGCUCAUCUGUCAAAAGUAGCAGACAACAAAGUGUAAAGUCAAAAAUUUCUGAUGAUUCGUCGGAAAACGUGGAAGAGAAAAAAUCUACCUACUCGAAGUACGAGUCGAGCUCGAAUAACAAUAAAAAAAUUGAAAUUAUCGAUUCCGUUCGGAAGGUUGAAAAUUUUUUACAAAGUGCUAAAAUGAUGAAAGACAAUCGGGAGAGUGGAACUCCUGAUUACAACGAAUCAUCGAUACAGGAUAAAAGACGUAAGUCGAGAAAGAAACGAAGAGAACAGAAACGCGUUGAUAUGGAUUCUAACAGAACAGAAGACGACGCUUAUGAUGAGGAAGUUCGAUCUUCCGAACGUGAAGUAACGCGAUCGAGAACGAAAAAAUCACGUCCGAAUAUACCACGAAAAAACAGAAGAAAAAGACGUCGUUCUAGAGGAGAUUCGUCACUGAAGCCGGAAAAAGAUGAAGAAUUACCGAUCACCGAAAUAUUGAGAAAGGCACAGGAAAAUCCGAAGCCACGUUACGAAGAACCGCUACCGUUGACCGAGCUUACGACAGACAGAAUUUACGUGCAGGGAAGGAACGGAUUCAGUGCUUUCAAAAUCCCAAAUGAUCGAACGAACAGCAUUUUUCGACGGUCGCUUCCGAAGGAAAAAAGUCCCCCACCUUUUCCCAUAAGAGUUUCUAUCUUCACGCAAAGAGUUUGGAAUUACACUGGACUCGUACACCAAGGACUUCUCGCUGGAAUGGCACUGAUGCAUCUAAUAUUGGUUGAAACGUUCUUUCGCCAGUCGGCUGAAUUUCUCGAAGAUUAUUCUGUCGUUUCGGAAUAUUACACCAACAUAUUUUCGUAUCUCAUUACAAUGUGCAUUAUUUCGGCCUUCGACAGAUUCGAUUUGGCGCAGUUGAACAUCGAGCAUUAUCGUGAAAUUUACAGCGAGCAUUCGAGGUCAUUAUUGGCGGUUCCACUUUACAUAGCGACAUUUUGUUUGCAUCAAACCAGCCUUCUCGUGGACGACAACAUUUCUCUGAUUGGGUACCAUCGGAAUAAAACCGAAAACGAAAAUGUGCGUAUGAACUACGUCUCGUUCCGGUAACGUCCUUCUCAUUUUUAUUUCCCGUCACUUGCAAAUGACGACAUUUAUCCAAUAAGUAUGUUUGUUCAGGCUGCACUUUCUGUCAUUAUAGUCCAAGAUUAGAUUUCGGAAUGAUUUUCGAAAUUUUAGUGACUCCAAUUCAGAAAUCGUAACAAUGGAUAACAAUUGGAAGAAAAUUUCGUACAAUGCGAAAUACUUGGCACGUGAUUCCAUUUUUAUAUUCCCAGCAUAAAAUUCCACCAACGUCAUAACGGACGAACAUCUUUCAACAUGGCAGAAAGUGACUGUCGCGAAAGACAGUAUGGCAGUAUUAGCGUGGCUGUUUGUAGUUCUCGGCCCCCGAGAGGACAUGUUGUUGGCGCAUC
RNA transcript from Venturia canescens, 2223 nucleotides. It is a transcript of the gene named transmembrane protein 237 homolog, with no coding region annotated. The transcript is spliced from 4 exons. The record is from RefSeq and is a predicted model, not a curated record. NCBI's taxonomy places the organism in Eukaryota, Metazoa, Arthropoda, Insecta, Hymenoptera, Ichneumonidae.